RNAcentral lists this ribosomal RNA (1319 nucleotides) under metagenome. Its description in RNAcentral is "bacterial LSU rRNA". It matches the Rfam family "Bacterial large subunit ribosomal RNA", at positions 1561 to 2925 of the family's 2925-position model. The record is from RNAcentral.
AGUGGAUGGGGAGCAACCUAGUUGUGCGUGUGUAAAGGUAGUGCCAAGAAAAGCGAUGAUCAUGUUGAAAAUCAAAUCCCGGUACCCGAAACCGACACAGGUGGGCAAGUAGAGAAUACUAAGGGGCGCGAGGUAACUCUCUCCAAGGAACUCGGCCAAAUGACCCCGUAACUUAGGGAGAAGGGGUGCCACCGAGAGGUGGUCGCAGUGAAGAGGCCCAGGCGACUGUUUAGCAAAAACAUAGGUCUCUGCAAAUUCGAAAGAGGAGGUAUAGGGGCUGACGCCUGCCCAGUGCCGGAAGGUUAAAGAAGUUGGUCAGUUUUAGGAUGAAGCUAGCGACUGAAGCCCCGGUGAACGGCGGCCGUAACUAUAACGGUCCUAAGGUAGCGAAAUUCCUUGUCGGGUAAGUUCCGACCCGCACGAAAGGCGUAACGAUCUGGGCGCUGUCUCGGAGAGAGGCUCGGCGAAAUAGGAUUGUCUGUGAAGAUACGGACUACCUGCAUUUGGACAGAAAGACCCUAUGAAGCUUUACUAUAGCUUGGAAUUGUGUUCGGGCUUCCUGUGCGCAGGAUAGGUGGGAGGCGUAGAAGGUAUUCUUGUGGGGAUACUGGAGCCAACGGUGAGAUACCACUCUCAGGAGGCUAGAAUUCUAACUUAAUUAAGGACAGUUUCAGGUGGGUAGUUUGACUGGGGCGGUCGCCUCCAAAAAGGUAACGGAGGCGUACAAAGGUUCCCUCAGACUGGUUGGAAAUCAGUCGAAGAGUGCAAAGGCAGAAGGGAGCUUGACUGCUAGAAGUACAGUUCGAGCAGGGUGGAAACACGGUCUUAGUGAUCCGACGGUGCUGUGUGGAAAGGCCGUCGCUCAACGGAUAAAAGUUACUCUAGGAUAACAGGCUGAUCUCCCCCAAGAGUUCACAUCGACGGGGAGGUUUGGCACCUCGAUGUCGGCUCAUCGCAACCUGGGGCGGAAGUACGUCCCAAGGGUUGGGCUGUUCGCCCAUUAAAGCGGUACGUGAGCUGGGUUCAGAACGUCGUGAGACAGUUCGGUCCAUAUCCGAUGUAGGCGUGAGAAUAUUGAGAGGAGCCUUCCUUAGUACGAGAGGACCGGGAAGGACGCACCGCUGGUGUACCUGUUAUGAUGCCAAUUGUAAACGCAGGGUAGCCAAGUGCGGAGAGGAUAACCGCUGAAAGCAUCUAAGUGGGAAGCCCACCUCAAGAUGAGUAUUCUGGUGUAAGGUCACGGGAAGACGACCCGUAAAUAGGCACGAGGUGGAAGUGCAGAGAUGUAUGAAGCCGAAGUGUACUAAUAGACCGUCGGC